This is a long non-coding RNA of Gasterosteus aculeatus aculeatus (three-spined stickleback), 1038 nucleotides long. The record is from Ensembl. NCBI's taxonomy places the organism in Eukaryota, Metazoa, Chordata, Actinopteri, Perciformes, Gasterosteidae.
GUAUGAGAGUGGUGAGGAAAGAUCCAAUUCCAAGAAGGCUCAGAGGAACAAGCUGAAAAGGUACAGCUUUUUUUGGAACCGGCUCAGGAUUAGCAAGAGUCAGGCAUCUUACCAGAAAGUCACUCCACUACAAAACAUCAAGCCUGAAUAGGGACUUGAACCCUGGACCCUUAGAUUAAAAGUCUGAGGCUCUACCAACUGAGGUUUGACCUUGAUUGAAAGGUAAUCUUGUAAAACAAUAGUUAUUAAAGGAAUAUAUGAGACGACUGAGGAGAAAACCAAUUCCAAGAAGGCUCAGAGGAACAAGCUGAAAAGGUACAUCUUUUUUUGGAACCGGUUCAGGAUUAGCAAGAGUCAGGCAUCUUACCAGAAAGUCACUCCACUACAAAACUUCAAGCCUGAAUAGGGACUUGAAACCUGGACCCUUAGAUUAAAAGUCUGAGGCUCUACCAACUGAGGUUUGACCUUGAUUGAAAGGUAAUCUUGUAAAACAAUACUUGUUAAACGAAUAUAUAAGACGACUGAGGAGAAACCCAAUUUCCAAAAAGGCUCAGAGGAACAAGAUGAAAAGGUACAGCUUGUUUUGGAACCAGCUCAGGAUUAGCAAGCAUCAGGAACCUAACCAGAAAGUGACUGCACUACAAGACAUCAAGCCUGAACAGGGACUUGAACCCUGGACCCUCAGAUUAAAAGUCUGAUGCUCUACCGACUGAGCUAUCCAGGCUUCAAAAGCUCUUUUGAUUAUUGCAAAUGUGACUCUGGCAGAGGAACAAACUACAUGUGUUCGUCCAAUUCCAAAAAGGCUCAGAGGAAUGAGCAGAAAAGGUACAGCUUUCUUUGGAACCGGCUCAGGAUUAGCAAGAGUCAGGAAUCUCACCAGAAAGUCACUGCACUACAAGACAUCAAGCCUGAACAGGGACUUGAACCCUGGACCCUUAGAUUAAAAGUCUGAGGCUCUACCAACUGAGGUUUGACCUUGAUUGAAAGGUAAUCUUGGAAAACAAUACUUGUUAAAAGAAAGUAUGAGAGUGGUGAGGA